This 497-nucleotide ribosomal RNA is filed under the name uncultured bacterium. Its description in RNAcentral is "partial 16S ribosomal RNA". It matches the Rfam family "Bacterial small subunit ribosomal RNA", at positions 28 to 507 of the family's 1533-position model. The record is from RNAcentral.
GAUGAACGCUGGCGGCGUGCCUAAUACAUGCAAGUCGAGCGAACGGACGAGAAGCUUGCUUCUCUGAUGUUAGCGGCGGACGGGUGAGUAACACGUGGAUAACCUACCUAUAAGACUGGGAUAACUUCGGGAAACCGGAGCUAAUACCGGAUAAUAUUUUGAACCGCAUGGCUCAAAAGUGAAAGACGGUCUUGCUGUCACUUAUAGAUGGAUCCGCGCUGCAUUAGCUAGUUGGUAAGGUAACGGCUUACCAAGGCAACGAUGCAUAGCCGACCUGAGAGGGUGAUCGGCCACACUGGAACUGAGACACGGUCCAGACUCCUACGGGAGGCAGCAGUAGGGAAUCUUCCGCAAAGGGCGAAAGCCUGACGGAGCAACGCCGCGUGAGUGAUGAAGGUCUUCGGAUCGUAAAACUCUGUUAUUAGGGAAGAACAUAUGUGUAAGUAACUGUGCACAUCUUGACAGUACCUAAUCAGAAAGCCACGGCUAACUACGUG